This is a long non-coding RNA of Triticum aestivum (bread wheat), 1812 nucleotides long. RefSeq lists it as uncharacterized. The record is from RefSeq and is a predicted model, not a curated record. NCBI's taxonomy places the organism in Eukaryota, Viridiplantae, Streptophyta, Magnoliopsida, Poales, Poaceae. The transcript is spliced from 4 exons.
CAAGACUAGGUGGGCCGUUCGAUCUGGACUGGUGGUACAGGAUUGAGAGGGUCCCUUGGCGUUGCAGUGUAUGCAGAAAACACCCUGCUUUAUUCCCUAAUUCAGCGACGAAGUGAAUAUCCAUCUUCUCUGUUCGCUUCUUCCCUGAUACAAUUCGCCGCCGCCGCUGCCUAGGGCAUAUUCCCCCAUCCACUGUUGCUAGCCCAGAUCCAGCGCAACCUAUAAGGCUCGCGCGCCUGCGGAUUCCUUGGCUCAGAUCCGGUCAGUUUCAUAGGAGUCGAGAUGGACCUUCCCCCGCCGUCGCUGGAGCCAAACGCGUCGCGGGAGCCGGAGACCCUCGGCAAGGACGAUCAGGAUUGGAUGUCCGCGCUGCGGGAGUCGGUGUCGUUCGGUCGAUUUCUCCAAUUGUAGUGAGAUGCAUGCAUUAGCGAUUCUGGAGCAGGCGUGAGUUGUAGUCCGUACUUGCCUGCUGCACGUUCCUCAACAAAUAUUGAAGGAGCUGCACUGCAUUUGGUUAGUUCAUCCUCCAAUUUCAUAGUAUCGUGUAUUGCUAUCCAUAAUGCAGUCCUUGAAGUCUGCUAUGAUGUGCCUAAAAUUAUGAACUGAAAGUAGCUGUUGCAACUGUAUGACAACAAACAAAAGAAGCGGAAAGUACAACUACAUCUAAUGUUAGUUGUGGUUAUGGAAAUUUCAUGUCUCGCCAUGCAGUACCAGCAGAUGUUUAAGUUAGUUCAGAGCAAAUAUAUGCAUCAAUAUUUUAAUCUUUGCAGAAUUAGAAGAAUGCUUGCUAUGCGGACAAAAGUUCUUGUUCAGUCACUCUGUUACAACAUAUUGCUAAGCAUGAAAAUCUAGCAGUGUUUAAAUGUUGUCUGCUGCUUCCUCUCUUAAUAUUUCUAGCUGAAUUAUACACAUAAUCUUUCUUAUAGAGUGUAAUAGAAUCUUUCUUACAUAUAGUAUAGUUGAAAAUCACAUGUACAGACUAGCGCAAGUUCAGACCAAAAUGUAUUUUUAGUCGAGUAAGUGACAUUUAGACUAUUUCGAAGUACUGUCUAUAGAUUGAGUGAUUCACUAAAUUCAUACCAGACGAGGCCCAAGAAUGUUUGACUAACAAAAAUCCCAGUUGAAUUCUAUGUCAGGCUGGGACAACUGAGUACUAGAAAUGUAUGCAGCUGUAAUAAACUAGCUUACUGACCAUUAAUGUUGAGCUGAGAUUUAACAAAUGUUAUGGGUAAAUACACUAUUAGCACAAAGAGGAAGCAGGGUUCACACCCGACAACAAACGGAAAAAGGGGGAAAAAAUAGGUCAAGAAGCUUGAAAAUAGAUCAGGGGGAUAAGAAGGUGCACCAGUCUCGAAGAAUGCAGGAUAAAACCAUUGCUUAUCUAGGUGGCUCUUUAAGGAGGCAGAUGUUCCAAUCGAUGAUGUGCAUGCUUUCAACAUCCAGGAAACAUGCAAAACGACCAAAUGGCUGGUCUAACGAUUCCGGAGCAGAAACAUCUUCAUGCUUUUGGUGUUCUUGCUGUGUAAUUAGGGGAAUCGUCUGUGUUAGCAGUUGACAAGAGUUGUAAUAUAUGCCUUUUAGAUUUAGGAGUAGCACCCUGUUUAGUUUAGCAAAUCUGAACUGUUACAUAUAUGUGCAAUUUCUUGGCAAGCAAUGCAUUGUGCUUUGUCAAUCUGGUAGAUUGUACCGCUCUGGUUUGCUUCAUUGCACAACAACAUGCUUUUAUAUCUGAAGGUGUUACUAGUAUUGUGGAAUCUUUUAUUCUGCCAUGUUUUGUUGCUUAUAUCUGGAGCCAGCACAAUUUGUUUUGCU